This 69-nucleotide transfer RNA is filed under the name Aphyosemion cameronense (Cameroon killifish). RNAcentral describes it as "tRNA-His". It matches the Rfam family "tRNA". Rfam says of the family: Transfer RNA (tRNA) molecules are approximately 80 nucleotides in length. The record is from RNAcentral. Lineage: Eukaryota; Metazoa; Chordata; Actinopteri; Cyprinodontiformes; Nothobranchiidae.
GUAGAUAUAGUUUAAUUAAAACAUCAGGUUGUGAUCCUGAUAAUAAAAGUUAAAUCCUUUUUAUCCACC